Apus apus (common swift) is the source of this 507-nucleotide long non-coding RNA. RefSeq lists it as uncharacterized. The record is from RefSeq and is a predicted model, not a curated record. The transcript is spliced from 2 exons. Lineage: Eukaryota; Metazoa; Chordata; Aves; Apodiformes; Apodidae.
UUGUCUCGGGGCUGCCGAGGCGCCUUCGGAGGCUUCUCCCUGGGCUGGGGGACUUGGCUUCUUAAGGCACCCUGUGGCAGAGUAUCACCUGCUGAGCUCUUCAGCUCUUCGUACAAGUGAGUUGUGGGGUUGGGUUGGUUUUUUUUUUGUUGUUGUUGUUGUUUUCGACAGAAAACAGCUAUAUGGUCGCCUUCCCAGUCUGCCUGCUCAUGAAAAUGGAUGUGAAGAUAAAAUCUGGCUUUUUCUCUGAUGUCUGCGCCCCAGGGCAAGUGAUCCUCCUCGGCCCCAAGAAUCCGUCAGUUUAUGGUGGUGUUUCCAGUGGUGCCUUGAGGCAGCCUGAGUCUGGCCAGAGCAUGGAGACAGGCUGAGAGAAGACAAAGCAUAGGCUCCAAAGCAUUUUGUUCCAUGCAGUGUUUGCUGCUUAUCCCACUGGCCAGUGCAACUUUGUUUUUUUCCAUCAGUCUGUUUUUAUUUAUUCUAUUUUAAAUAAAAACCUUGUUGGGACCA